GCCGGCUUAGCUCAUUUGGUAGAGCAGUUGAUUUGUAAUCAUCAGGUGGCGGGUUCGAGUCCUGCAGCCGGCACCA
Molecule: transfer RNA, 76 nt
Filed under: Massilia terrae
Lineage: Bacteria; Pseudomonadati; Pseudomonadota; Betaproteobacteria; Burkholderiales; Oxalobacteraceae
Description: tRNA-Thr
Rfam family: tRNA
About the family: Transfer RNA (tRNA) molecules are approximately 80 nucleotides in length. Their secondary structure includes four short double-helical elements and three loops (D, anti-codon, and T loops).
Source: RNAcentral